RNAcentral lists this ribosomal RNA (253 nucleotides) under uncultured bacterium. RNAcentral describes it as "partial 16S ribosomal RNA". It matches the Rfam family "Bacterial small subunit ribosomal RNA", at positions 524 to 776 of the family's 1533-position model. The record is from RNAcentral.
UACGUAGGGGGCAAGCGUUGUCCGGAUUUAUUGGGCGUAAAGAGCGUGUAGGCGGCUAGGUAGGUCCGUUGUGAAAACUCGAGGCUCAACCUCGAGACGCCGGUGGAAACCAUCUAGCUAGAGUCCGGAAGAGGAGAGUGGAAUUCCUGGUGUAGCGGUGAAAUGCGCAGAUAUCAGGAGGAACACCAAUGGCGAAGGCAGCUCGCUGGAACGGUACUGACGCUGAGGCGCGAAAGCGUGGGGAGCGAACAGG